UACAGAGGUCCCAAGCGUUGUUCGGAUUCACUGGGCGUAAAGGGUGCGUAGGCGGUCGGGUAAGUCUGAUGUGAAAUCUCACAGCUUAACUGUGAAACUGCAUUGGAUACUAUCCGGCUCGAGGAAUGGAGGGGAGACUGGAAUACUUGGUGUAGCAGUGAAAUGCGUAGAUAUCAAGUGGAACACCAGUGGCGAAGGCGGGUCUCUGGACAUUUCCUGACGCUGAGGCACGAAAGCCAGGGGAGCAAACGGG
RNAcentral lists this ribosomal RNA (253 nucleotides) under uncultured bacterium. RNAcentral describes it as "partial 16S ribosomal RNA". It matches the Rfam family "Bacterial small subunit ribosomal RNA", at positions 524 to 776 of the family's 1533-position model. The record is from RNAcentral.